This 30-nucleotide non-coding RNA is filed under the name Mus musculus (house mouse). The record is from RNAcentral. Lineage: Eukaryota; Metazoa; Chordata; Mammalia; Rodentia; Muridae.
UAGCCAAUGAUGGAGAGUGACUAUGUCCCA